UACCAAGUUACAAGAUAGACACUUUUAUUUCACGUCCAUAUACCAAGUUACAAGAUAGACACUUUUAUUUCACAUCCAUAUAUCAAGUUACAAGAUAGACACUUUUAUUUCACGUCUAUAUACCAAGUUACAAGAUAGACACUUUUAUUUCACGUCCAUAUACCAAGUUACAAGAUAGACACUUUUAUUUCACGUCCAUAUACCAAGUUACAAGAUAGACACUUUUAUUUCAUGUCCAUAUACCAAGUUACAAGAUAGACACUUUUAUUUCACGUCCAUAUACCCAAGUUACUAGAUAGACACUUUUAUUUCACAUGCAUAUGCCAAGUUACAAGAUGGACACUUUUAUUUCACAUCCAUAUGCCAAGUUACAAGAUAGACACUUUUAUUUCACAUCCAUAUACCAAGUUACAAGAUAGACACUUUUAUUUCACAUCCAUAUACCAAGUUACAAGAUGGACACUUUUAUUUCACAUCCAUAUACCAAGUUACAAGAUAGACACUUUUAUUUCACAUCCAUAUACCAAGUUACAAGAUAGACACUUUUAUUUCACGUCCAUAUACCAAGUUACAAGAUAGACACUUUUAUUUCACAUCCAUAUACCAAGUUACAAGAAGGACACUUUUAUUUCACAUCCAUAUACCAAGUUACAAGAUAGACACUUUUAUUUCACGUCCAUAUACCAAGUUAUAAGAUAGACACUUUUAUUUCACAUCCAUAUAUCAAGUUACAAGAUGGACACUUUUAUUUCACAUCCAUGUACCAAGUUACAAGAUGGACACUUUUAUUUCACAUCCAUAUAUCAAGUUACAAGAUGGACACUUUUAUUUCACGUCCAUAUACCAAGUUACAAGAUAGACACUUUUAUUUCACAUCUAUAUACCAAGUUACAAGAUAGACACUUUUAUUUCAUGUCCACAUACCAAGUUACAAGAUAGAUACUUUUAUUUCAUGUCCACAUACCACGUUACAAGAUAGACACUUUUAUUUCACGUCCAUAUACCAAGUUACAAGAUAGACACUUUUAUUUCACGUCCAUAUACCAAGUUACAAGAUAGACACUUUUAUUUCACAUCCAUAUACCAAGUUACAAGAUAGACACUUUUAUUUCACAUCCAUAUACCAAGUUACAAGAUAGACACUUUUAUUUCAUGUCCAUAUACCAAGUUAUAAGAUAGACACUUUUAUUUCACAUCCAUAUACCAAGUUACAAGAUGGACACUUUUAUUUCACAUCCAUAUACCAAGUUACAAGAUAGACACUUUUAUUUCACAUCCAUAUACCAAGUUACAAGAUAGACACUUUUAUUUCACAUCCAUAUACCAAGUUACAAGAUGGACACUUUUAUUUCACAUCCAUAUACCAAGUUAUAAGAUGGACACUUUUAUUUCAUAUCCAUAUACCAAGUUACAAGAUGGAGACUUUUAUUUCACAUCCACAUACCAAGUUACAAGAUAGACACUUUUAUUUCAUGUCCACAUACCAAGUUACAAGAUAGAGACUUUUAUUUCACGUCCAUGUACCAAGUUAUAAGAUAGACACUUUUA
RNAcentral lists this long non-coding RNA (1548 nucleotides) under Physcomitrium patens. Its description in RNAcentral is "long non-coding RNA (PPAT_LNC012786)". The record is from RNAcentral. Lineage: Eukaryota; Viridiplantae; Streptophyta; Bryopsida; Funariales; Funariaceae.